This 73-nucleotide transfer RNA is filed under the name Reinekea forsetii. It matches the Rfam family "tRNA". From Rfam's summary of the family: Transfer RNA (tRNA) molecules are approximately 80 nucleotides in length. Their secondary structure includes four short double-helical elements and three loops (D, anti-codon, and T loops). The record is from Rfam by way of RNAcentral. Lineage: Bacteria; Pseudomonadati; Pseudomonadota; Gammaproteobacteria; Oceanospirillales; Saccharospirillaceae.
GUCUCCUUGGCACAGCGGAUAGCGCGGCUCCCUCCUAAGGAGCAGGUCAGAGGUUCGAAUCCUCUAGGGGACA